UUUUGAAGGGGUUGUCUUCUUCCAGGCAUUGAUUCUCUGCUGCUCAAAUGCAGAAUAAAAGUCAAGAUGCAUCUCUGACUCUGGUUGGGUGCUGAUAGUUUCCGGCAUCCUGUUUUCCACAUUGUAGAGAUGACAUUUCUGACAGUAUCUGUGCCUUUGUCCAGUGAGGUGUGGUCUUUUGGAUCCUGAAAGACAUUUUGGUGAAAGGGAAAAAGUGAUCGAGAUUUAUGACAGACCGUGCUGCAGGAGUGUACCUUGUUCAGUCGAUAUUCACAUGUAAUGGGAUGUAGAGGUGCAACCCCCCUCAACACAAAAUGAAGUCUCCCCUAACUGUCAUAAGGUGCAGUGCGUCAACAGUGCCUAUCUGAAACUCUUUACGUCCAGUACCAAGGGCAACGGCUGAGGGCUUUCAUCGCGAUACUCACACCUCUCCCUAGCACAGACGCUGUGGGAUGGUUGUCGAGACCUAGCGGUCUAUCCUACAACCGGUGUUCCCCAUGCCUGGCGGGUUUGACUUUGUCCCGCCAUUGAUUGAUUAAAUCCUUUUUGUAAACCCUUUAACCCGCAGGAAUCACCGUGUUUUUGUUUUCUUGCAUUGGCCGCCGGCUUGUUUUGGCGCCCGCUGAUGUUAUCAGAAACAAGCCUGCACUCAUGUGCAUCCAUGUAAUCUCUUGGUGUCCGAGAAACACUGAUGUCCUCUUUCACAAGCGGUAAACGUUUCUGGAAAAGAGCUUUUAAUGAAUUCUGAAAUGCGGAGAGAAAUGUACAGAAAGAAAGUUGUUUGGAGAAGCUAUCCACGAUGAACCAUUACCAAAUAUCAGUGCUGUGUGUGUGACAACAAAUGGCACGUACAAUCAGCAGCUCGUGAACCCUGUCGUUUGCGUGACAGACAUACAAGACGAUCCAGUUAUCAAGCUUGUCUAACACGAUGACCCUGUAAUAAGAGGAAGGGUUUGGGGGACGCGAUUACAGAUUAGUGGUUCGAACUUCGCCAAGAUCUUUUCGAUCUCAGGUCAACCUCCUCAAGCUGAGAGGUGCCAUUUAGAAGCCAGACCGCAGGAGAUUGACGAUCGAGGCAUUUGUGAGGUCGAGCGUUUUCUCUCUCCCACCCGUGUUUGCCCUUUUCUAACAUGGGCGUUAAGAAUUUACACGCGCGCGUGCACACACACACACAGGGAGAGAGAGAGAUGAGGAUGUUGCUCCAUGACAUGGACGCCGCACUAAACAAUCAAAUCACAUUUUUACAAAGUUUUUCUGCAAAUGUGUAAUGAAAGCUUUCUCAGAGACGAUUAACGCUGACAACGUAAUGUUCUUUCAAUGAUGACACAUAAUAUGUAGGGUGGGCGCACAUGCUAACGGUGUGCUAAAUGUCCCUCGAUCUACUGCUCGAAAAAAAAUUAAUUAAAUUCAUUUUCUAUUGUUAGUAAUGUUAACAAUGGGCGACUGCUGUCCAACAAGCGUUUCCUGCGACUUACAAGCUGAUUGCCAUUUUUAAACACACCUAUUAUCACACUCGCUUCCAACAACAACCCCUUCCGACUAUAGCUGGUCCCAUAACUGUCACCCCGCGCACUAUGGAGGUAUUUAUUAGUUCCAGAUCUGGAGAAGCUGUUUCAAGAGGAACAAAAGGUUCACGAAGUGCAUGAGGGAAAAUGAAAACAGGCGAUGUAUGAGAGCACUUGAUCCCACCUCCCCAUCACACUUCUGGUGUCACUCCCCGACCACCACCACACAUACAAAGUGCCCACUGUUCACUCGUGCCUUCACCUGGCAAUUAAUACAGCGAACCCGUUAAAACACCGAUAUAUGACGUCACAAGGUAUUCACGUUGCACGUCGUUCUCUCGUUCAUUUCCUCCCCACUCUAGUCCACACCCAAUAAAUAAAUCUGAACAGUUCUCAAAAACAACAACAAUGACAAAAAAAUGCAGCUUUGUCCAGAUACUUCUGUAUCCGAGAUCGCGAAAGUGAAUAGACAGGGACUGGUUAAUGUUUCCCAGCCCUCUUCGAAAAAUUUAACACGAAACUUGAUAAUUACGGAGUGCGAAUGUAGUUCCCGGCCUACCCAUG
Molecule: long non-coding RNA, 2069 nt
Filed under: Pomacea canaliculata
Lineage: Eukaryota; Metazoa; Mollusca; Gastropoda; Architaenioglossa; Ampullariidae
Description: uncharacterized LOC112573417, transcript variant X1
Source: RNAcentral